Molecule: ribosomal RNA, 257 nt
Filed under: uncultured bacterium
Lineage: Bacteria
Description: partial small subunit ribosomal RNA
Rfam family: Bacterial small subunit ribosomal RNA
Source: RNAcentral
AGGACGAACGCUGGCGGCGUGCUUAACACAUGCAAGUCGAGCGGUAAGGCCCUUUCGGGGGUACACGAGCGGCGAACGGGUGAGUAACACGUGAGCAACCUGCCCUUCACUUCGGGAUAAGCCUCGGAAACGGGGUCUAAUACCGGAUAUCACUGCCCGUCUCAUGGUGGGUGGUUGAAAGUUCUGGCGGUGGGGGAUGGGCUCGCGGCCUAUCAGCUUGUUGGUGGGGUAAUGGCCUACCAAGGCGUCGACGGGUA